This is a long non-coding RNA of Syngnathoides biaculeatus (alligator pipefish), 4932 nucleotides long. RefSeq lists it as uncharacterized. The transcript is spliced from 2 exons. Lineage: Eukaryota; Metazoa; Chordata; Actinopteri; Syngnathiformes; Syngnathidae. The record is from RefSeq and is a predicted model, not a curated record.
CUGCGCGUCGGCCAAGAGGGGGCGGUGUCUCGCACUACGUGAGUCGAAACAGGAGAGGCAUGCUGGGAACCCAGCGGGAGGUCGCCUUUGUUGUUGUGCGCGCCGGAGGAAAAAGUGGAUUUUUGCGCUCGCUCCGUCCGAGCACCAGGACAGGAAGUGGCCUCCGUAGAGGAAACUUGACCCCCCCUCCAACAAAAAAAAAAAACCCUUAACUCUCUCCCCUCGUGGUACUUUUACUUGUCUUCCGCCCUUUGUAGCGCCAUCCCAUCCCUCCACCUUCUCCUUUUUCUCGCAGCGUGAACGUUGAAUUGCAUUUUGGUCGUAUUUGUAUUUUCUUUCUUAGUCAAGUCAAUGCAUGAAAAUAUUUCAAAACAAAGACUUUUUAUUUUGCUUUCUUCAACAUCACAGCAAAGUGCCUGACAUUUAAUAUUCCCAUUUCAGUUCCUCCUUUUUGAUUAAAAAUCACAACUUUUUUUCCCCACUAUAUAUUUCUUUUUAGGCGGCACGGUGGUUCAGCUGGAAAGCAUUGGGUUCACAGUUCUGAGGAACCGGGUUCGAUCCCGCACCCACCUGUGUGGAGUUUGCAUGUUCUCCCCGUUCCCGCCCACAUCCCAAAAACAUGCAACACUAAUUGGAGACUCUAAAUUGCCCAUAGGUGUGAUUGUGACUGUGACUGUUUGUCACCAUGUGCCCUGCGAUUGGCUGGUAACCAUUUGACCGCUGGCAUAGGCUACAGCACUCCCGGCGACCCUCGUGAGGGUAAGCGGCACAAGAAAAUGGACAGAUGGAUAUUUCUUUUUACAUUCCAAGUUUCUUAAAGGGCUACUGACACUUAAAGCAUGAUUUUUAGUAUGUUUUGUAUGUAAAAAAGGCAAGUUGCACAGGUUAGUGAAUAUUAAUUAAAGGUCCACUGACAUGAAAUGCAUGAUUUUUAGUAUGUUAUUAAUGAAAAAAUGGAAGCCGGAAUGGACCCAUCCGCUUUUUUUUUUCCAUCACACGUCAUGAUGUUGUCGUAGGUGGAUUUUUGUACCUCCCGCCAUGAAAAUCCUCUCGAGGGAUUCGUUUUGGAGAAGAAGCAGGAAGUGAGUUUUUUUCCAGAACCCACACUGGUGGUUUCUUGUUUUUAUACCAGUUUUAGUGGUGCGAAAGUAGCUGUUUUUUUUCCCUGCGUGUCAGCCAAAAUGCCGACUCGUUGUAUUGCCGGAUAUUGCUCGAACACUUGGGAGGAUGGAUUCACUCUUUGCACUUUUCCAAAAGACCCGGUUUGUUGUGACCCGGAUUGCACAGGUACAAAGGACGAGAGCUUCGUGGGUACCAAAUGACAGGUAGGUGUGUACAGAGCUAUUAAAAAAAAAAAAAUCAUAGUUUGGGGGACAACGUAAUCCUUCUUUCAGCGAGCGACCAGUGACGUACGCUACAUACAGUCAGGGAGUCUGUUGUUAGUUAGAAGUGAUCCGCAUAUCAUCUAAAUGCAGCUUGAAACGAAAGGGUAAUAUUGCCCCGGUCACUUCACUCGGUUGGGAGAUGUUCUCUUCUUCGAAAAGAGCUUCCGUGUCAGAAGGGGCGUCGGAAAAAUCCGAAAAUCUCUGUCGUGUACGUGUUUUCAAUGGCGAAUGUCCCGGUGUGACGUCUGCUGAUGACGUUGCAGGCAACAUGGCUGCCACUGGGAUGUCGAGUGAGACUUCUGCAACUUUGCGCAUGGAUGACACGCUCUCUGCUCAUAUUUAUUUUUUCGUAUUAUUCUAUGUAAUUUUCGUAACAAGGCCUAUUUUACAAUGUAUACGGGGAUGUCAGUGGCACUUUAAUUUCCGAGCAAAGAAUGCAAAUGACAAAUUUCAGGUAUUGGGCAAACAUUUUCGUAGGAUUACCGAGCGUUGGGCGGCGGUCUCUGCUCUGCCAAAUAAACAAGACAUUUUUUUUUUUUUUAAACUAAAAUGUUACACAAAUUGUCCUGUCAUUCCCUUGGCGCUGAUCUUUUUUUGCUCACACAAUUGUGCAGGGUGGUGACCUCUCGCUUAGCCCCCCCCCCCCCACAGAAAACAAAGUAAAACAGCGUUUGAGCAAACGGCAGUGUAUUUAACCACACCAAAAAAAAAAAAAAAACAACAGCCAAUAAGGCACAGAGGAAAAAAAACAACAACAAGAACUAAACAACAGCAGAAGGUCAAACGAAGGAGAGAGACCAAGCUUUAGGGAGCCUCCAUCUUGUCCCCCCCCCCUCCCCCUUCACUCCAGAUUUUGUCCUAGUCCCUCAGCACACUUCCGGCACUGUCACAUUUAUUUACAUUUUUUUCCCACCCCCCCAUAAAGCUGUGUGAAGUGGGUUAGUCGUACAUUUGCAGUGCUGCUGUUAACAGGGGAAUCUUUUUAAACAUUUUUUCGUUUUUAAUAACGCACAAACUGCCACAGUUUUACACUCCUCUAUAUACAGGAAAUUUGAGCAGGAACAAAAGGCCAUCGUUGAAAUUCAAAAUGAACAUAGAUUACAGUUGUAACGCAGUAUUAAUAACAAACGUGGAAGUGCUUGUUAACCCUUUGGAGCAGGGACCUUUUUUCUUUUUAAAUCAGGGCAAAGCGUUAUCGUAUUAUUAUUCUAUUACAAACAUUUGUCAGUUAAAUGUUUUGCGUCCCUCUUGGAUGUUUUUGGGGACUUGUAUGGCAGUCCGGAUAAAACGUGGGAGGCAAAAAGUCAACAUCUCCCUGUUCAAAUGCCGGUUUUUCAUGAUAUAAAAAAAAAAAAAAUAGACCAGGAUUAAUUAUUUCAAAACUUUUUCCAUCAAAAACCUGAGCAAUUAAAAAUAAUGAUCGUUUUGAAAAAAAAAAAAAAAAAGUUUGAUUCCUGGCAUCCCCAGUUAAGAGGGUGUGUACAGUUCUGCAAAACCUCAGUUGUUUAUUUUUACUCCCCUAAUAAAAAAAAAAGAUUUUAAUCAAUUAAUAUGUCCUGUUUACAGGUCACAUUCAUGGUGCAAAAAGUUUUGAAACAAAUGUUUGACGGUUUUAAUUUCCUGUCAGCAGCAAAUGAAUGAAUCCGUUUCUUGUACCAAAACAUUAUAAAAGAAUCCAUUAUUCGCAAAGGGAGGGAGCGUCUACACACAUUCAACAUCAAGCGAUACAAACGGGUAUGCCGGAGCCGGCGUUGUACUUCAAUUAAACACGUGGCUUAAGUUUUAAAAGCGUUUCGGAUUGCGAGCGUGAGCUGCUCGGGAAUCCCGUCAACACCACGGACCGCUUCCAAGUAUUGUCACGCCCUAUUAGACACUGUCAAGUUCCGUUUUGUGCACUCCAUUUACUGGAUUUCGCAUCAGAACAGUGACUGCCGCGGCAAAUAUUUCAAAAAUGUAAACAUCUCGCCGGGAUCCGGGGCAAUCGCGGCCCGCCGUCCUGCCGCGUUGUCUCGUGACUGUUCGGUUUUGUUUACGUUGGCCUGAAGAGGGUCUGCCUCGGCCACCAGAAACAUUGUCAACGGAGCUUAGAAAGUAUACAGUGGCGCCUUGAAAUCUAUAAAUUUUCUUCUUUUCCUUUCGGCUUGUCCCGUUAGGGGUGGCCACAGAGUCGAACUUCAUCUGUCAGUCCAUCCAUUACUACCGCAAACAGGAAGGGGCUCAGCGCGAAUCCCUGAUGCAGUCCCACCUCCACCUUAAACUCUUCUGACACGCCGACGGCACACCUCACCGCUGUUCUGCUGCCCUCAAACACGUCCCGUACUAUUCUAACGCAUUUCUGCCUUGAAAUCUCAAAUUACCUUACAAAAGCAUACAGAACAAAUUAAAUAGAAUAUAAAAAAAAAAUGGAACCCGUUUUUCAUGGAAGUAAAUUAGUGCCACCAGGAUUUGAAUUUGAAAUGCCACAGAAAACAGGAUUUGAAUUUGAAAUGUAAAGUGAACACAUUUUCAACAGUUGCUACAAUUCGCUGUCUAAAAUUCACCGUCUGCGCCACCAGGCGGGGUUACUUCAGGUCAGAACCGAACAGCCGGCCAAUCCAGUUAUGCUUUCUUAGUCACGUGACGCCACGUGGCACAGAGGGUGAAUUUCAGACAGUGAAUUGUAGGAACUUCAAAUUCAAAUCCUGGUGGCACCAAUUUACUUCCACAGUUUUUAUCACACUUGGAAUCAUCCGGAUGACAUUUUUUUCUGCUGCCGGCCUUGGCCACCUGGGGGCAGCAUGAGAGACGGAAACAUUGUACGCGGACAUUUGUACAGUACGAGAUAGGCUUAGGUGGAAAAAGAUGACACGCUGUGGCGACCCCUAACGGGACAAGCCGAAAGGAAAAGAAGAAGAAGAGGAAGUCCUCCCAGUUUUUUUUUUGCAGAGGAUAAAGAAUAUACGACUGUGGGUGCUGUCAUGUUGAAUGUCUACAUUUGUUUCUGCACUGUUAGUGUUCAAAUAUCAUAAUUAAAGGGUGAUAUAAGUUUCCCAAAAUGUGUUAGCAUUAGCAUUAAGGUAGCGGACUAAAGGCGACUCCUACUUUUGUGUUUAUUAUGACGUUAAAUUUCCAGCGUUAGUGGCAUUAAACAGCUUGGAAACUUCUCUCUUUUUUUUUUUUUUUAAACAAUUGUUCAUAAUUUGUGAAAAUUCAUUUCACCGGCACCAUGCAGCGCUUGCGUCUCGAGUUUGAAAAAAAAUCAAAUCAAAUCUGACUGCUAAGAUCUUGCAUGUGAAGGCACCACUGUAGUUCCACUGAUAAAACGGCCUCGUGCUUUGAAUUUUGCUCCUUGGCUCCUCAGCUGGAUGAAACAAAAUAUUUGACAUUAAUCGCAGGGCACGAAUUGAUUUCCCAGUGCUUCAAAUUGGAUUCACUGGCAUUGGGGGAAGCGACUCCCACUCGCGCCAAAAAUCGCCAAAUAUCCUCAAAGAGCGACACAACCAUUUUGAUCCAACAAAGCAUUGCAAUGCCAUACCGAUUUCUGACAUCUGAACCAUUUUUUUUUUUU